RNAcentral lists this long non-coding RNA (309 nucleotides) under Capsicum annuum. RNAcentral describes it as "long non-coding RNA (CANN_LNC018079)". The record is from RNAcentral. Lineage: Eukaryota; Viridiplantae; Streptophyta; Magnoliopsida; Solanales; Solanaceae.
CAAAGAUCACAAUAUAUCUCAAUAUUUAACCGUGGGUUUUCCUUAAUUCUUCAAGAUUCAGAAUCCCCAUUACGAGGGCUACAAGAAGUACCCAUCAAUCGGACGUAUAAUAUCCCAAAAGAUAGAGUUCAUUCAGAAGCUUCUAAUUUAAGGUGAGUGGGGUUUUCCUAAAAUCUCAUGGGCAUAGAAAUCUUCUUUUAAUUAUGCAAAGGGUUUAGAAAUCAUGAUUUUAAGAAAAUAGUUUUGGAUUUAUGAUUAUAAACAUGUUUUAGAAGCCUUGAUGAUAUUGUUUUGGUCUUUAGGCCUUCC